UACGAAGGGCGCGGGCGUUAUUCGUUUUGAUUGGGUGUAAAGGGUACGUAGGCGGCUGUUGAAAUUCUUAACUUAAAACGCAGGGUGUUCCCAUGCGACAGUUUUUUAAAGAUUCAGCUAGUGAUGGAGAGUGGUUGGGGUAAUUUCUUAUGUAGGGGUAAAAUCCUACCAUAUGAGAACGAACACCGGCAAGCAAAGGCGCCUUUCUAGUUCCAUCAGACGCUAAGGUACGGAAGCUUAGGUAGCAAACAGG
Molecule: ribosomal RNA, 253 nt
Filed under: uncultured bacterium
Lineage: Bacteria
Description: partial 16S ribosomal RNA
Rfam family: Bacterial small subunit ribosomal RNA
Source: RNAcentral